This 621-nucleotide unclassified non-coding RNA is filed under the name Viviania marifolia. RNAcentral describes it as "sequence contains ITS1, 5.8S rRNA gene, ITS2". The stretch from base 236 to 391 matches the Rfam family "5.8S ribosomal RNA". The record is from RNAcentral. Lineage: Eukaryota; Viridiplantae; Streptophyta; Magnoliopsida; Geraniales; Francoaceae.
UCGAAACCUGCCAUGCAGAAUGACCCGUGAACUAGUCAUCUACCUUGGUUGUGUUUAGUGUUGUCACAUUCACUUGCACAACCUACUCCCGGUGAAAGGAAUUUUUCCUUGAACCAGGACUAACAAUGAACCCGGCGUUAAAAGCGCCAAGGAAAUGAAAUGAGAGACAACAAGCCUUGUUGUGUUGUUUAUUCGACCCAACAAGUGAAUGUUGUACCUCCAAAAUGUCUAUAACGACUCUCGGCAACGGAUAUCUCGGCUCUCGCAUCGAUGAAGAACGUAGCGAAAUGCGAUACUUGGUGUGAAUUGCAGAAUCCCGUGAACCAUCGAGUCUUUGAACGCAAGUUGCGCCCAAGGUCUUCGGGCUGAGGGCACGUCUGCCUGGGUGUCACGCACUCGUUGCCCCCACUCUCUUGUCCUUAAUUGGUCGAAGAGAUGGAGGUGGAAUUUGGUCUCCCGUGUGCUCCCGCUUGCGGUUGGCCUAAAAUUGAGUCCCCGGCGUUGAGCGUCGUGACAUGCGGUGGUUGAAACAUUUCUCCAGCAAACAUAUCGCGUGCGCUCAAUUCCAAUUACGUGGGCCUUUGAGACCCUCUAUCAUCCUUUUGCGACCCCAGGUCAGGC